Apodemus sylvaticus (European woodmouse) is the source of this 4103-nucleotide long non-coding RNA. RefSeq lists it as uncharacterized. The transcript is spliced from 3 exons. NCBI's taxonomy places the organism in Eukaryota, Metazoa, Chordata, Mammalia, Rodentia, Muridae. The record is from RefSeq and is a predicted model, not a curated record.
UCCACCCGCCCCUCGGGCAGGGACUGUGCAAAUCGAGGAGAGGGGAGGACCAACAGGCUACCCGGGGUCUAGCUAAGGGGCCAGGACUCUUCACUGAGACCUUAUCCAAGCUAGGUGUUCCCCGCAUCACGGAACCUGGAUUUGUGUGAAGCGGGGUGAUUCCAGGGCCAGGAAUUCCUUCCAGCAGGUCCACUGUACCUUCGUCUCGCUUCAGGACCCCCCUUGGAUGCUCUGAGCCACCCUUCUCAACCCGGAUCUAAAACCUGGGACACGGCUAUCAGGCCAGCCUCUCUCCCUCCACCCCUCCCCCUCUUUCUGGCGUCCAUCCCCUCCCCAACACCACCUCUGCUGCUGCCUCUGGCUGUGGACCUGCACCUCUUCUCCAUCCUCUCCAGGCCGGGAGAGUGGGGUUAGCCUGGAUGAGAGUGUGCCCCUAACCUGGGGCCCUCCCAGGCCAUGGCUCCUGUGUUCCCAGGGAGGAGUCCAGGACCCUGAGCAUCUGCUAGAAGCUUGGCAGAGGCCCCGCUGGGACCGAGUCUUCUGAGGACAAAAGGCUGCGGCCAGCAGGCAGACUGGGUGGGGGGUGGGGGGGGGACCGGUAGCUAGGCAGGCAGAACAGUAGCGGAGCCAGCGCUGGCCCCCUCCCAGACCGGCGGUGGCAUGAAGAUGGGGGUGGGAGUGUUUAGUGGGAGAAGCACCUACCAGGACCCCCAUCUGCCCUCUACUUGGGCAUCCCAAAGCUGUGUGCUGCCCACCUGGUGUUCCCCAAGAUCUCCAGCUCUACCAAGUGUACCCUUCUGGCACCUGCUUCCCUUGCUGCCAAUGAUUUAGACCAACCAGGCUGUAUCCACGGCAACAGAAGCAGGAGUGUCACUGGCUGCCAGAUCAGUGAGGGUCCCACAAUGUGUUCUGGGCUGUGGUUUAUCCUGGAUGAGACAGAGUGAGCCUCCUUCCUGAAUUCCAAGACAGUCCUGCUAAGAGAACCCAGUCUCUACCUACAGGUAACAUACUUUUGCUCACUCACCCCGGAAGAUGUGUCCCAGCUAGUGGGAGGAAGCUGCUGUAGGAAUAGAGGAAGAUACCCAUAUUGUGUUUGGGACACAGUAGCCAGAGGUCCCUGUAUCUGGAGGUGCAGUAAAACCUGGUAUAUGGAGAACAUGGAUUCUACUAGGGACACGGCUCCUAACUACUAGCUCGCAACUUUAGUGGAGGCAUGUCACUUGUUGAACCUUGAUUUUUCCCAUUUGUCAAAGAGACUGGUAACCCUUUCCUCGCGGAUGUGUGCAGGGAUUAAAUAAAUUGGUGCAUGCAAACAAUUAAAUGUGUUUAUAGGAUGGUGCUGAGCAGUGCCAGGGUCAAUAUUAUUGCUGGUUGUUCAUGAUUAGUAUUGCUAUGGAUUAGGGGAAGGAUUAGCACCUUUUCUCCAGGGUCUCAGCAGAGAUCUAGAGAAGCCAGCAGUGGGGAAGAUGGAAGGUGGAAGGUAGAGGGAAGCAGAACAGCUUUAUGCUAUUACUUCUCAUUUGUAAAGAAUGAGAGAUACUUGUGGGCAGUCAUCCCCUACCCUACUCGGGGUUCUUUCCAUGCACUUCCCCUUAUUCGUGUACUCAGACACACACACACACACACACACACACACACACCAGACUGAAAGUCAGCAGAGGCCUGGCUUGCAGCCUGCAGAAUUCCUGGCCCUGGUAUGUGUCCCUCUGUUGAGGGGAAAUUAGCAAGAGCUUGGCUUAUGGUCAGUGGUUGGCAGGGACUGGAGACAAGACUGAAGCUUUUGAGAUUACAGGGUUCUGAGUGAGCUGGGGUGUGGUCCGUGCAGUAGCCAGACCUGUACCACAGUUUGCCCAUCUAGACCUUGGGUUGGGGAGAAUAGGGUUUCCUAAUUUGUUUCUAGGUAUGGAGAUGUGGUAGAAUACCAAGGGGUUGGGAAUCAGCAGAGGAGUCAAGGGAGGGGAGAGAUUGAAAAUAGAUUUCCUCUGAGGGACAGGGAGGGCCUGGGACCUUUAGACAUGAGUACACUUUCCUGAAGAAGCAUUUGAAGUGGAAAGGAGAGGAACUAACCUGUUGCCCAGGGGCAUCUCGACCUGAAACUAAGCAUAUAUAUGUGUGUGUGUGUGUGUGUGUGUGUGUGUGUGUGUGUGUAUACAUGAAGACAAAUGACUGCAUGUAUAGUCUGUGUGCACAUGUCUUAUCACUGUACUGUAGGUAUAUAUGAGUUUGUGUGUGUGUGAACAGGCUAUAUAAUAGCAUAUGGGAUUAUGUAGGUGUCUGAAUUGAUUUGUGUCUGUACUAGAGGGCAUGGUUUUGUAUGUCUGUCUGGGUGUGCAAAUGGUCCUGUUUGAUUUUGACCCACGUAUUGGCAUAUUUCUCUGAGCUUGUAUUAGGCCUGUUAGUGUGUGUAGUGUGUGUGUGUGUGUGUGUGUGUGUGUGUGUGUAUGUAUUGCAUAUCCAAUUAAAUGAAUGCCUAGUUGGAUCUGAUUGUGUAUAUUCCUGUUUUUCCAUGUGUGCCUUUCAGUGUGUGUUCAUCCAAACGAUUUGUUUGAGUAUAAUAAUAGAUAUAUGUAUCCCAUGCAUAUGUGUGUUGAACAUGCUUAUGUGUGUUGUAGGUGUGUCUCUCAUAUAUUUGUAUGAACAGGCCUAUGUGUAAAAGUCUGUAUAGAUUCUUUAGCAUUCUUCAUUAUGUCUAUGCCUGCAUGCGCAUGUUUGAGUGUCCACUGUCUUUAAACAAGCCUAUGUGUUCAUAUCUAUUUAAAGAAAUGUAAGUAUAAAUAGACACACUGAAAUAAGAGACGAGUAUAUGAAUGAAAAAUAUUUUAAGUGUGCACAGACUGUGGUGUUUACAGCAGUGUGUAUUAUAUUCAGCCACAAGGCUGUGUGCAUAGGUGAAUGGGUAGGGUACAUUUGUAUGAUGUCUAAUUUGGUGUAAGUGCAUAUCUGAUUAUUGUAUGCAUAAGUGUUGCAGGAUACUUGGGUGCAUGUGUCUCAGUAUGUGUUUUAUUUGAAUUUUUUAGUGUGACUGUGUAUUUGAAUAUGUCUUGAGUGACUGUGCAUAUAUAUGCUAGUAUUUGCUAAUACCUGACUGUGCAUAUAUUCAAGUGAACAUAUCUGUACAUAGGCAUAUGUUGUCAAACACAGUUAAGGGUAUAUUUUUGAAUAAGCUUGUGUAUGCCCAUCUGAAUACACAAAUAUGUGAAGUAUCAGUUAUUAUAUUAUAUUAUAUAGUGAUGUAUUAUAUAUUAUAGAGUGAUGUAUAUAAAUCUAUGCAUGCUACUCUUAGUUCACAAGUACAUUUAUGUGUGUGUAUGCAUUUAUUUAGGAUGUCUUUGCAUGUAUGUAUGUGAUAAGUGGAUCAAAUUUUCUUAUGCAGAUCAACAAGUGCGUGUGCAAGAAUACAUGAGAGUACUUCUAUAUGUGCAUGUGUUGAAAUAUGCCCUUAUGUUCUAUUCCAAUGUACAUAUAAGUUACUCUUCUUUUAUUUAUGUGGCUUCUCACAAUGGGUGUGUGGAUAUAACAAUGUAUAUAUACUUGACUGUGAUAGUGUGCUUUGUGAGUAUCUGUGUUUCCAUAUUUAAUUGUAUACCUAUAAGAAUGAAUUAAUGUAUAUACAAGUCUAUAAGCAUGUGAAUAUGCUAUGUGUGUACAUGACCAGUUGUGUACACAAAUCUAUAUGUUAGAAUAUCUGCAUAUGUAUACUUCAUCUCAUUUACAAGCAUUUGUAUAUUUGGGUAUGGAUAUGUGUGAGCACACCUAUACAGAUAUGUAUGUGUAUAUGCAUGUGUGCAUGCAUAUGUGUGUGUAUGUGUGUGUGUGUGUGUAUUCCUGUAGUUAUGUUUGAGGAUAUACAUGCACACAUUUGAGAGUUCCCUCUUCUGUACCCAUGUUUCUUUAUCAUUUCUUUAGAUAUGAUACAUAUAUUUUUACAUAUCUCUGUAGAUAUGUAAAAAAUACUUUCACAUAUCUGUAUCCCCACUUGUGUUUGUGAGUGAAUGCAUGUCAUUCAUGAGUAUAUCAUGUGACUAUAACCUAUUUUAAAGAGUAAAUGUGUAUACUUGUCACUAACUCCAAUGGAAAUGUGCCUAUGUAUGCAUAAAUAAAAG